This 460-nucleotide ribosomal RNA is filed under the name uncultured bacterium. RNAcentral describes it as "partial 16S ribosomal RNA". It matches the Rfam family "Bacterial small subunit ribosomal RNA", at positions 338 to 795 of the family's 1533-position model. The record is from RNAcentral.
CCUACGGGUGGCAGCAGUGAGGAAUAUUGGUCAAUGGACGCGAGUCUGAACCAGCCAAGUCGCGUGAAGGAUGACUGCCCUAUGUGUUGUAAACUUCUUUUAUAUGGGAAUAAAAUCUUCCACGCGUCGGCGUUUGUAUGUACCAUAUGAAUAAGGAUCGGCUAACUCCGUGCCAGCAGCCGCGGUAAUACGGAGGAUCCGAGCGUUAUCCGGAUUUAUUGGGUUUAAAGGGAGCGUAGGUGGAUUGUUAAGUCAGUUGUGAAAGUUUGAGGCUCAACCGUAAAAUUGCAGUUGAAACUGGCAGUCUUGAGUACAGUAGAGGUGGGCGGAAUGCGUGGUGUAGCGGUGAAAUGCUUAGAUAUCACGAAGAACUCCGAUUGCGAAGGCAGCUUACUGGACUGCAACUGACACUGAGGCUCGAAAGUGUGGGUAUCAAACAGGAUUAGAUACCCGUGUAGUC